Bos indicus x Bos taurus (hybrid cattle) is the source of this 592-nucleotide long non-coding RNA. NCBI's taxonomy places the organism in Eukaryota, Metazoa, Chordata, Mammalia, Artiodactyla, Bovidae. The record is from Ensembl.
AAAAAACAAAACAAAACAAAAAAUGAAAAUUAAGAACCUUCCCAAGUUGACAUGAUCGUGAAAAUCACAACUAAGAAAUGAAACUUAAGUCUUUUUCAUUCCAUUUUCAUUACAGCUGAUUGACUACCCUUCCAAUAUUUUGAGUCUAUACAUCUGAAACAACCUGUUUCCAAAGAGCAUUCUUUUUUUUUUAAGUACAUAUCCUAAGACAAUAUUAACUUUCCCAGCCUAUGAAUUCAUAAAUGUGCCUGGUAUAAAUUAGAAAAAAAAAGUUGGACAAAUGGUCAUAAGGAACGAGAUACAUGACAAUCACAAUGGAGGAAAUUCUGGUGUGCCCAGUCUUUCACCGAGCCAGCGUUAGAGCCACUGCAAGUUACUUCAUCAUUCUCUGGAAUAUCUCUUCUCCAAAGAAUGAAUGCACUGGAAGCUAUAGCAUCACAUCUAAUGCUGAAGAAGAGAAGUAGAAUGUGUUUACUUCUUGCAAGACAAAUGAAUAAAAGAAGUUACCUCAUGCAAAGAGUUGACUCACUGGAAAAAACUCUUAUGCUUAGAGGGAUUGGGGGCAGGAGGAGAAGGGGAUGACAGAGGAUGA